This is a long non-coding RNA of Phasianus colchicus (ring-necked pheasant), 367 nucleotides long. RefSeq lists it as uncharacterized. The record is from RefSeq and is a predicted model, not a curated record. Lineage: Eukaryota; Metazoa; Chordata; Aves; Galliformes; Phasianidae.
CACAGUUGGAUUCCAAAGCGGAACGGAGAUGUUACGCGAUAUAUAUGUCGUUUAGAAAUCCUUUUCCCAAGUCAAGUUUGACAAGCACUCUGCACACCUGAAGAAAAUGAGUAUCUACUAAGCUGAGGUAGGUGCUGAAUAUUUUGAAGGCCCAUUCCUUUUAGUCUUGAUCCCUUUUCUACUCAUGUUUGUUAUGCCAAAAAAAAAAAAAAAAAAAAUGCAGUAAGUUGAUGUAAGAAAACAUGCAUCACAGUAUAGUUACAAGUGUCCUGCAAAUAAGGGUUCUAGUUUUGUUGACUGAGCACAGAUUAUUUCAAAGCUCAGUAUGCUUAUUUAGACAAAUGAGCAAUACUUUUAUUUAAAUAAU